UUAUACAAGAAGAGCCGAAUCCCUCCCCCCCCUCUCCUCUCUCCUCUCAAGUCUUAUAUUGUAAGGGUUCAUGUACAAACCAUCAGAGACAUCAAGCUUUUGAUGUUGACUUUCCAAGUAAUUAAAGAAAGGAAUUCUUGAUUAUUUACAAUAAUAAUCAAAAGGUAUGUAAACCCUAAUCCUUGUAAUUUCUAUUAUAGUAAGAUUAUCUUAGGGGGUGUUUGAUAUAGAGAAUUUAGAGCAGAGAAAUGGAAUGUAUUCCACUUCUCUUGUUUGGUUAGUGUUAAAAAAGGAGAGAAAAUGAAAUAAGUUAAUUCGAUUUCCAUCCUAUUAAUUCUCUUUUUUUUUAUAAAGAAAUGGUGAGAAAAAGCAAUCGAGAAAACAAAAUAAAAAGGCGGAGAAAUAAAAGACGUCGUGACUUCGAACCUCCUCCGUGUGCUCCCUAUUUUUGGUCAAUGAUAAUCUUCAUCUACUGAAGAAAUCGAUAUCUCCAUAGCUUCUACUUCUCGAUUUCAAGCUUCAACAAAUAUCCAAUACUGCUUCUCGAUUUCUAGCUUCAACAAAUAUCGACGGCUUCGGUGUCGAUCGCCUUAUCCCCGAUUUCUUUGUGUUUCGAUUUUGCAAACCUAAUUCAAGUCAUAGGUAAUUAUUGGAUUUUUACUUUGAAUGAUAUAUGAUUCUUAAUCAAUUUAUUAUUUUGAUUAUUUGGUCGAUUUAUGUAUAAAUAAAAUAAGAAUUGAACAUCCCAUCUAACCUCUCAAAUUGAAAUUAUAACAAAGUGAUUUGUGAAUGUAUUUUGAUCAGAAUCUGACCGCAAGGAACAUAUGAAUCUGCUAUUUAACUUUUUAGAUUUCCAUGUAUUAGUAUUGUGGAGAAAAUAGGGAUUAUUAUUGGUUUUUGUUUCAUUAUUUUGUAAAUUAUUUGCCAUUACUUUGAAGUCAUAACCUCAUACGGUCUUCGAACAAGUUGAGUUUUUUCCCAGAUUGUUGUCAUUUGUAUUGGCUUCAUUAUAGGAUAAAAAAACAGCUUAGUUGGUUAAGAAUCGAUCAACUUACAUAGCUAUAAACAGGUGGUGCUAGAGUUGUUAGUUUUUGUUCAACAUUUUGUAAAAUUUAGCCCAACUUUGAAAAGUCAUAAAUUCCUCAUACAACCUUACAAUAUCUGACCUUUUUUCCCAUAUUGUAGUCCUCUGUAUUGGCCUUAUUUUAUGCUAAAAAAUAUCUUAAUUGGGUAAGAACUUAUUGACUUACACAACCCUAAACAUGGGCUGUUAGAGUUGUUUUUUUAUCAGCAUUUUGUAAAAUUUUAGCCCGACUUUAAACAACCAUAAAUUUCUCAUACGACCUCGGGACGAGCUGCUCAUAUUUUAGUCCUAUAUCGUGGCUUCGUUUUAGGAUUAAAAAUAUCUUAAUUGGUUAGGAAUUGACGAACUUACGUAGUCCUAAACAUGGUUUGUUAGAGCUAUUCAGUUUUUUGUGUUUUGUUUUUUUAUUUUUUUGGUGCAGAAGUUGAAAUUCUUAACUGAGACAGCGGGACAAAUACAAGUGGAUUCGGUUGGGAUACAGCUAAAUGAUGCGUUACUGCUAAUGUUGAAGUUAAGGCGAUUGAUAUAUUUAGAAAAUAUCAAUUCCACGCCCGAUCAUUUUUUUAAGAUGACGGAGUUGUUACGUGAAAAUAAUUGCGAAUGGCUCAAUAGCAUGAUUAGACUAUUUUAAGUUCUGUUUUUUUAGUUGUUACGAAUACUAAAUUUGACUUAUUGCACAUUCAUUAUUGGGUAUAGUUUUUAAAUAGUAUGAUUUUCAUAUUUCUUUA
This 1812-nucleotide long non-coding RNA is filed under the name Lactuca sativa (garden lettuce). RNAcentral's name for it is "long non-coding RNA (LSAT_LNC006421)". The record is from RNAcentral. Lineage: Eukaryota; Viridiplantae; Streptophyta; Magnoliopsida; Asterales; Asteraceae.